Molecule: ribosomal RNA, 486 nt
Filed under: uncultured bacterium
Lineage: Bacteria
Description: bacterial SSU rRNA
Rfam family: Bacterial small subunit ribosomal RNA
Source: RNAcentral
AUUGAACGCUGGCGGCAUGCCUUACACAUGCAAGUCGAACGGCAGCACGGGAGCAAUCCUGGUGGCGAGUGGCGAACGGGUGAGUAAUAUAUCGGAACGUGCCCAGUCGUGGGGGAUAACGUAGCGAAAGCUACGCUAAUACCGCAUACGAUCUACGGAUGAAAGCGGGGGAUCGCAAGACCUCGCGCGAAUGGAGCGGCCGAUGUCAGAUUAGGUAGUUGGUGGGGUAAAGGCUCACCAAGCCAACGAUCUGUAGCUGGUCUGAGAGGACGACCAGCCACACUGGAACUGAGACACGGUCCAGACUCCUACGGGAGGCAGCAGUGGGGAAUUUUGGACAAUGGGCGCAAGCCUGAUCCAGCCAUUCCGCGUGCAGGAUGAAGGCCUCGGUUGUAAACUGCUUUGUACGGUAACGAAACGGACGAGCUCUAAUACAGUUUGCUAAUGACGGUACCGUAAGAAUAAGACACCGGCUAACUACGUGCC